Molecule: long non-coding RNA, 3794 nt
Filed under: Gallus gallus (chicken)
Lineage: Eukaryota; Metazoa; Chordata; Aves; Galliformes; Phasianidae
Source: RNAcentral
GUUUUUCAGCAGCAGCCAGCUGCCCAUUAAGCCAUGCAUCCUGAGCUUGCUUUAACUCUGGGCAUUUGGAGGAAUCGAAGUACAACUGAGAAUUAAGCACAAGAAAGAAAACACCUCCAACCCAAAAGCUAAAGUAGUCAUCUCCCCAGCUCUUGCAAUAAUUAUCUAUUGUUUCUCUUGUUGGAGUAUUGCCAAUAUCAUGAUUUCCACUGACAAAUACCAAUGGGAUGUCCUGGUCAGUGUUUUUCAGAACAUUCUUUAAAUCUUGCUCUUGGUCCUUUCUCCACUGAGUUCCUGGCAUUCCAUGGAUAAGAUCUCCACACAACACAAAGAACUUGGGUUUGGGGUUUAGUUUGUUAAUGGCCUGCACUGCUUGCUCUGUUAAUUUGAUUUCUUCUCCCCAUUCGUCAUCUCCACUUCCUGUAUUGCCAACUGCCCAAGCUUUUAUUAGUCCAAACUGAGGAUCUGCUCCUUGGAUGAAGUAGAAAGGUCCCUUCCAUUGGUACUCAUCACCUUGGCGGAAGGCAGUCAGAGUCCUUCCCCGAGCUCUCCGGAACACGUCCCCAACCGCCGCCAUAACGCUCAUCGCCGCGAACCGUCGCCUCGUUCCAGACCGCCGAGAGAAAGGCACCGCCUCCCCUGGGGGCGGCACCUGGGCUCGAGGGAGGAUCCCGGGGAGGGGCGGGGGUCCGGCGGCGCGCGGCGCGGGAAGUGAGCGCUGAGGUGGUGCUUGGGGCGGCCAUGUUGGGCAGCAGGAGGUGGGCUGGUUCUGCUCAGCACUGCUGUGGCAUUUCGGUUGCAACAAACAAACAAAACCCGCCGAAAACCAGCCUGAUUUUCUUCAAAUUUUUCCUAGCCUGCAAACUGAAGCCUAAAAGCAUCAGGAAUUUUCCUUAGCACCUCGAAGGGAUGCUUUUCAGUUGAGGUUUCUACGGUCUUUUAGUUUUGCUCUAAAAGUUGCACAUAGAAUCAUGUUCCUGGCAGAACAGCCAUAACCCCAUUAUUCUGCACCACAUGACAUGCAGAGCUCGGAGUGUUGCUUUGUCCAGCUUGUGAAAUCUACAGCAAGGCACUGGAUAAGGUUGCUGUCACUCUAUAAUGUUUCUAUGAUUGGAUUAUUAUUCCAUGGGAGUAUUAUCCCUGAGUGAAGAGUGUUUCGGUGCCAGUUUGAUUCCAGUUUGUAAACUGCUUGAUGGUAACUAGAUACAAAGCACUAAAGGAGGUCUUUCUAUUAGGAAGUUUGACUCAGUUCCCCUUGUCAUGAGGCAACAUUUGGUAGAUUAAGCAAAUACAUUGUCAAUCUCAGGUGCAGUCUGUAUAAAUAUCCCAACACUGCCAUAGGAAUAUGUGAUUGUGGUCUAAUGCUGGAGCAGCUCCUGCUAAGAGGAGCAAUUGGUUCCCAUAAUUGCUGUAACAGGAGAGCAUUCCUAGUAGAUGUUAUCUUUUGGACGGCCUGGCAUCUGACACCCCUCCUAUUUUUCUCCCUCAAACAGCCAUAAUACAUUUCAUGUCUUUACAUCCAACUGACUGCCUAAUUCCAGUUUCCACAUGAAAAUGCUUAUCACAAAAUACUCUUCAUAUCAAUACUGCCAGAGAUCAGGCCCAUUUAGCUGCCUUUUCUGACAGAUAUUCUUGGCUAUGGAGAGCCUGUUAAUAAUGAUUGAAGUAUAUGACAUUUCUCUGGAAUUAAUGAUUGACUACAAGACUCCAGUGGCUCAGUGCUUGGCAAAGGACCGUUCUCUCUAGCAGGCAAUCUUUCCCUGGGAAAUACUCAGAGGUUGCAUGAAGAUUAUCAUUAUUGUUUACAAAAUGAAAUAGUGAAUUUUAAGCAUGAUCGUUGCAAUUGCUCUGUGUUUUCAUUGUUCAGUAUUCUUCAGAUUUAUCUCCACCUCAGUGUUUAGAUUAACAUGUUAUCUUUUUCUCUUAAUUUUACUCUUUGGAAAUCACUUAUUUACAUAAAAGCUUGCAAGAAUCAGUUCUAAUAUUCCACACAGGUAAACACAAAAUAUAUAAUACACACAUAUCUGUAAAAAGUAUGAGGGUGUAAUGUGUUCAUAUAACUUCCACUGAGAAAUGGCUAUACAACGCUAUGUAUGUCCCCCCCAAAACCUACUUUCUAGAUUAAAAUUGAACAAGCAGCAUUGCCAUUGAUCCACAUGUGAAAGUCUCAUUGAAAAGAGAGAAGUAUAAGAGGACUAACGUGCUUUGUAUUAAGGUCUGUGCCUACAGUUAAGUACUUAACUAAGUGGAUAUGUGCUUGAGUAAAGACAUGUUCUGUGGAUAGAAACUUCAUCUUCUCAAUUGUUCCAGAGGCAAAAUGCCUUAGUUAUGGGAUUAAACUAUAGAAAAAAAUAAGUAAUUAUUACUUACUUCAAUGCAAUGACAAAAGGGAUGUCUAGAAAACAGACAGUCUUGAUGCUAUAUUGUGAAAUCUCGUGUUUCUCAGCUUGAUAAAGACAACUGAAAUCAAAGUUUAUUUACAGUUUUAAUUGAAAAACUACUUUAGAAAAUCAUACAUGCCCCAGUACUGUAUGAAGAGCCUGUUUCUCUCAGUUUUAGUUUUGUUAUUUCCAUCGUUAUGCUCAGUGGUUAUAUAUUUUGAUCAUGUAGAUAUUUUGACAACUGCAUGCUAGGAAGGCAUUAUAACACACUGCAGCAGGCAAAAAAAAAAAAAGGGGGCUCACACUCUAGUCAAGAAUAAGUCUAGUUCACCCUUAAGACUCUAAGACAUAACACGGUGAAAAUAAGUUUACUGCUAAUAUUAUUAACAGGAACAUAGGGCAUAACUAGAGUAAUUUAUGAUUUAUUAGGGUAAUAUGAUGUAUGGGUUCUGAGUUCAAUAGGUCUUAAGGUGUCACAGGAAACACUGUUUUUCAAAGAGCUUUGAAUCACUCUCCUUUUUUUUUUCCUAGUUCUGAGCUCCGUUUCCUAGGACAUGCCAUUUAGAGUCAGAUCCUGAUCUCAAGGAACUGAGUCCAGCAGAUGUUAGAUUCUAGCCUAAAUACUUUGCCUUUGUUGCUGUUGUAAAAUGCUUAGGGAAAUCCCCAGGAACUUAGCAAAACAAGGGACUCAUACCAUAGGCAGUCAGGAUUGAUGGCCCACAAAAUAAAUCCUGUUUCGAUGCUAUUAUUUCUGCACAUGCAUAGCACUAAUCAGGCAAAAUAUGUAAGCACCUUUUCAGCAACAGGGAAACUUGUAUAAUCUUAUGUACUUGACAAGACUGGCCCUUAAAUGUCUACAGAUACAACAGUAAGUAUGAUUCACUUUUGUGCAGUACUUUCAGCACAAACUGCAUCACAAAGUGUUAAAUAAUAAAUAACAGCAGAGUGAAGUAUACACAAGAGAGGAAUGAUAUGAUUUCAGAGGAGACUUGAAAGGGGAUGUUGAUGAGGUGGAGGUUUUAAAAAUUAAAUAUUAACAAAAAGGUUGGUUUGGCUGAGACCAAUUGUUUUUCUCUGCUGAGGAAUAAAGGGGAUUUCUGACCUGCAGAAAGUCUUACUGCCAACCCGUUUGGUGGAAUCAUCACAAUGUACUUGGAGUCUAUUUUUAAGAGAAAGCAAAGGAUCACAAUUAGCUAACGACAGCCCUCUCCAAUUCCAAACGUCUGCUUUGUCCUCUGCCUCACCUCUCUGUUAUUUACUGCUUCACAACUCCACAUGAACCUGGCCCAAGUUCCUGGAGAGCAGUGGCCGCGCAGCCCCUCUCCCUGAGCUGAGGCCAUCCAGAUGUGUCCCUGAGGAGCAGGGAAGCUGCUUGUAACCCCGGCCCACACUGCUACAUUGCACCAUAACGGG